Molecule: ribosomal RNA, 743 nt
Filed under: Robillarda sessilis
Lineage: Eukaryota; Fungi; Ascomycota; Sordariomycetes; Amphisphaeriales; Sporocadaceae
Description: partial large subunit ribosomal RNA
Rfam family: Eukaryotic large subunit ribosomal RNA
Source: RNAcentral
CAAAUUUGAAAUCUGGCCUUCUGGUCCGAAUUGUAAUUUGUAGAGGAUGAUUUUGGUGCGGUACCUUCCGAGUUCCUUGGAACAGGACGCCUUAGAGGGUGAGAGCCCCGUACGGUUGGAUGCCUAGCCUUUGUAAAUCUCCUUCGACGAGUCGAGUAGUUUGGGAAUGCUGCUCUAAAUGGGAGGUAAAUUUCUUCUAAAGCUAAAUAUUGGCCAGAGACCGAUAGCGCACAAGUAGAGUGAUCGAAAGAUGAAAAGCACUUUGAAAAGAGGGUUAAAUAGCACGUGAAAUUGUUGAAAGGGAAGGAUUUAUGACCAGACUUUUUCUAGGCGGAUCAUCCGGUGUUCUCACCGGUGCACUUUGUCUAGUUUAGGCCAGCAUCGAUUUUCGGCAGCGGAUAAAAGCUUCAGGAAUGUGGCUCCUCCGGGAGUGUUAUAGCCUGUUGUAUAAUACGCCGCUGGGGAUCGAGGUACGCGCUUCUGCAAGGAUGCUGGCGUAAUGGUUAUCAAUCACCCGUCUUGAAACACGGACCAAGGAGUCGAACAUUUAUGCGAGUGUUUGGGUGUUAAACCCUCACGCGUAAUGAAAGUGAACGGAGGUGAGAGCCCUUACGGGUGCAUCAUCGACCGAUCCUGAUGUUUUCGGAUGGAUUUGAGUAAGAGCAUAACUGUUCGGACCCGAAAGAUGGUGAACUAUGCGUGGAUAGGGUGAAGCCAGAGGAAACUCUGGUGGAGGCUCGCAG